CGCCGGCAUAUGACCUAUAUUACAAGGAAGCCGAACCUCCAGGUAGGUGUGUGCUGUACUGUCGCGACAUAUUCCAGAAAAGCUGUCUUGACAAGAUAUAUUUUGCAGUCUAAAUCAGCGCAAUACAUACAAUGGACGCCUUCCCCAAAUGUUCUGUCUGCCAGCAGCAGUUUACCCUGAAGGGCCCCGCCCCCUACCUACUGCCCUGUCUACACGCUGUGUGUGAGACGUGUGUGACAUCUGCAGCUGCCGGUGUGAUAUCAUGCUCCACGUGUCAGAGGGAGGUCAACCUCAAAGAAACAACCCUCCAGCAGGAUGCAGUGAGACAGAAGGAAAUAUUACACCUGACGGUCAAACAUCGCCCCACAGAGCUUCUCUGUACACACGAAGAUGACGGCAACCAGGCUGUGUGUUGGUGCCCAGAGUGUGAAGAGUUACUCUGUGAAUACUGCCAGAACAUGCACAACAGUUUCAAAGCUACCAGACGACAUGUUGUUGAAACCAUUGUGGACACGGCACCGGGAAGCAUGAAGGCUGAACCAGUUUGCAAACUUCACAAUCGUUAUCCUCUGGAAUAUUUUGACAAAAACUGUAACAUUUUAAUCUGUACAAAAUGCAGGCUUGGCGACCAUGCUGAACACGACGUUGAGGAUUUAGACGUAGCUUCUGAUGCUGCUGAAAGGCGGAUAAAACAACAUGGGAAGAACGUGACUGCACAUCAUACGUCUCACCAAGCAUAUCUGAAGAGCAUCAGCAAAGUCAUCAAUGACACAAAGAAGAAAAGCAGUGCUGUGAAGGAGACGAUCCACCACACAUUCCGUUCUCUCUGAGGACACAACUCGAUCAAAGAGAGACGGAUCUGAUCAUCGAUCUUGACAAUCAGACGAAGCAGAAACUGUCAAAUCUACACAUAGAGCAGGUUACCUCUGAAGGCGAGAGUGAACGAUGCAAGUGGACCUCAGACUACAUCAAGACAGUACUCAGAUAUGCUUCGAACUCGGACUUUCUGACACUGGAGAGUUCAAUACAAGAAACAACGAAGACUUACCUCAGAUCAGUUCCACAAGAGCUGCACUGUUCACCUGCAGCCGCAUUCAACAUGAGAGGACUGGAGAAAUUGAAAUCCGACAUUUCUGAGUUUGGGUCUCUCGUUAGAGAUGGAUCAACAUCUGAUGAACACACUCUGACAGACAGAGGUACACAGACAGAUGAUAUCCAUCUACCUGACCCGGAGAACACACUCACGCAUCUGAAGCUUCCGGAGGCUGCUAACGAUCCAGCACCACUAACACAGUUUGGUGAGAUUUUUAGAUUACUUUGCAAAACGUAACGAGGGAAAACAUCGUUACCAUGCGGGGACUAAAACCUACAGUCUGGAAACAGGAACAGGGACCAAGUUGACACUGCAGUGUGAGUAUAAUCAGUUACUUGCUU
This 1434-nucleotide unclassified non-coding RNA is filed under the name Haliotis rubra (blacklip abalone). RNAcentral's name for it is "uncharacterized LOC124269812, transcript variant X2". The record is from RNAcentral. Lineage: Eukaryota; Metazoa; Mollusca; Gastropoda; Lepetellida; Haliotidae.